GACGAACGCUGGCGGCGUGCUUAACACAUGCCAGUCGAACGGAAAGGCCCUUCGGGGUACUCGAGUGGCGAACGGGUGAGUAACACGUGGGUGAUCUGCCCUGCACUUUGGGAUAAGCCUGGGAAACUGGGUCUAAUACCGAAUAGGACCACGCGCUGCAUGGUGUGUGGUGGAAAGCUUUUGCGGUGUGGGAUGGGCCCGCGGCCUAUCAGCUUGUUGGUGGGGUAAUGGCCUACCAAGGCGACGACGGGUAGCCGGCCUGAGAGGGUGACCGGCCACACUGGGACUGGGGUACGGCCCAGACUCAUACGGGAGGCAGCAGUGGAGAAUAUUGCACAAUGGGCGCAAGCCUGAUGCAGCGACGCCGCGUGGGGGAUGACGGCCUUCGGGUGGUAAACCUCUUUCAAUAGGGACGAGGCGCAAGUGACGGUACCUAUAGAAGAAGAACCGGCCAACUACGU
This 461-nucleotide ribosomal RNA is filed under the name uncultured bacterium. RNAcentral describes it as "partial 16S ribosomal RNA". It matches the Rfam family "Bacterial small subunit ribosomal RNA", at positions 28 to 506 of the family's 1533-position model. The record is from RNAcentral.